Molecule: ribosomal RNA, 253 nt
Filed under: uncultured bacterium
Lineage: Bacteria
Description: partial 16S ribosomal RNA
Rfam family: Bacterial small subunit ribosomal RNA
Source: RNAcentral
UACGGAGGGUGCGAGCGUUGUCCGGAAUCACUGGGCGUAAAGGGCGCGUAGGUGGCGCGAGUAGUCAACGGUGAAAGCCCGGGGCUCAACCCCGGGUCGGCCGUCGAUACUCUCGUGCUUGAGCACUGUAGAGGCAGGUGGAAUCCCGGGUGUAGCGGUGGAAUGCGUAGAGAUCCGGAAGAACACCGGUGGCGAAGGCGGCCUGCUGGGCAGUAGCUGACACUGAGGCGCGACAGCGUGGGGAGCAAACGGG